UACGGAGGGGGCCAGCGUUGUUCGGAAUUAUUGGGCGUAAAGGGCGCGUAGGCGGCUUGGUAAGUCCGUUGUGAAAUCCCUCGGCUCAACCGAGGAACUGCGACGGAUACUGCUUGGCUUGAGUCCCGGAGAGGGUAGCGGAAUUCCCAGUGUAGCGGUGAAAUGCGUAGAUAUUGGGAGGAACAUCGGUGGCGAAGGCGGCUACCUGGACGGGUACUGACGCUGAUGCGCGAAAGCUAGGGGAGCAAACAGG
RNAcentral lists this ribosomal RNA (253 nucleotides) under uncultured bacterium. Its description in RNAcentral is "partial 16S ribosomal RNA". It matches the Rfam family "Bacterial small subunit ribosomal RNA", at positions 524 to 776 of the family's 1533-position model. The record is from RNAcentral.